GGUGACCUCGGAUCAGG
Molecule: ribosomal RNA, 17 nt
Filed under: Apoharknessia insueta
Lineage: Eukaryota; Fungi; Ascomycota; Sordariomycetes; Diaporthales; Apoharknessiaceae
Also listed under: 1 other name
Description: partial 28S ribosomal RNA
Source: RNAcentral